AUUUUUCAAAGCUUUGAAGUCACAUGAUUAAAGUGGUGGAUUAACCUGCCAGAAACAUCUAGAAUGUAGAGCGAGGGUGCACUGGAAAUAGGAAAAUAGAUGGACUUUGCAGUAAUCCAGAUGCAAGGCAACUGAGAAGGGGGCAGGAAUGAGCGGCGUCCAGGAGCCGGAGAAGAGAGGAUGCUUGGGACCUGGCAGCUUCCUUUUCAUCUCUAGGCACUGGAAUGGAUGGGUGUCCUGGUUUGGAUUUUCUAGUUCAGCCCUAAAGAAGAUUUCUGCUAAGGAAGAAGGCUUUGCCUGGAGUUUCUGGUGCUGGUGGUGGAAGAAACGUAUAAUCAUGAGAGCUGCUGGGAUCCAUUUGCAACCCUGCAUGAUGCUGACCACACAGAAAGAAGACGAGAAAAACAGAAUCCAGAGGCCUUGACGUUCUUACUGGGCCCCAGUAUCAAACUCAAAACCUUCCCUACCUCUGGACUUCCAGUUAUGUGAUCCCUGAAAGGUAUCCACAUGUGACCUUUCCCAGUAAGACUUUAGUUAGGUUGGCUAAAGUGUUAGCAGAGUCUAAUCUUGUUGGCAGAAAAAAAAAAUGCCUUUUACUAUGUUUGUACCUUUUAAAGACCUCAUAGCCCAGCAGACUGCAUAAAUGCUGGUGAAUUUCUUUCAAACCAUUGUCAAAUAAAACAUCCCAUCUCCAAUUAGCAGAAUGUCUCCAUUCUGAAAGUCUAGGAGCCUUCUUUAUUUUUUUAUUCUAAAAAUAUCUAUACCAGGAUUGCAAUAAUUUGAGGAUUACUAACAAGAAAAACUCCUGAAACUUUUGAGACUGGGAUUUGCAUUUGCAAAAUGAUUUGCAACCAGACCUGCCAGGUAGCACUUCACGGAAAUCAAAAAGUGGGUUUUGAAUAUCUGGAUUAUAUUUUUUGGCAUCCAAAUUCAUAGUAAAAUCAUCUUUCUAGCUGUCUGCAGUAGAUGUGGCUAAACUCUCAGAACAGCUUCCACAAGUGCUGAAUAACUUUUGAUAAAAGUCGAUGUAGCUGGAACACAGUCACAUUUGAUUGACUUACCUUAAUUCUCUAAAUCAGCUUAUUGCCCAAACAGCUCCUCAAUUCGGGUGUCCCCGUGCUGCGGCCACCUUCUCUAGUUGCCAGAGCCCGCUCCUCCACCCUAAAUAACUGCGACUGCGGCAGAGGCGUUUGGGUUGGUUUAAGAUGGCAGUAUAUCCCCCUGUUUCUUCAUUCAGGAUUUCUUUCCUUCAAAGGAGACUUUGUGUUUCCCAAGUUUCCUUCUUCUGCUUGUAUGAAUCUAAAAUGAAUCUGAACUAAAAGUACUUGUUGAGUGGUUAUGCUCCCAACUGUAAUUUGGAGUCAAGGUAUGAAUAUUUUAUACUCAAAGAGUCACUGAAGAUUUGUAGGAGGUUUUUAAAAAUAAAAUGAAUACACUCAUUUUGUUGGCUCAGGUAGACUAUAGCUGGGGGAAAACAAAAAUACAGGACGAGCCCUCAAUCAUGAGUCUUUAAAAAAUGAAUCAGGAUUUGUGUUUUGGGAUAAUCAGGAGUCCCUGUGGUGAGUACACAGUGUCCUUUGGAGGAAAGAAAUACCAGCCUGAAGGAGAACCGGGAAACAAAAACAAAAGCCACCCAAAUGCUCCAAUCUCGUUUUAAACCAACCCAAAUUCCAGAGGUGCCGUUUCAGAAGGGAGCUCUUCAUGCCCUGGCAGAAAUUAGGUGUCAAGCUAGAGAGCCAGUAUUCAGAUGCCUGUGGCUUCCUUUCACUGCAAAAAUAGAUUUAAAAAAUAAUCCAGUCUUUGGCACAUUUUCUCCGAGACGGAGAGACCUGAGUAGCCCCUUUGCUUUCGCUGUAUGUUUGUGUUGCACUGAGCUGAGGGCUUUGUGAGCUCAUAGGCUACUUCAAAAGCUGUUGAAAACAGUCAAAACCGAAACUGAAUACAUGUGAAUUAAGCAUUUCCUUUUUUAUAUAAAUCUGUGAGUUGUUUUUUUUUAAAAUAACAUCUAUUGGUUUACAUAGAGGGACCCC
Molecule: long non-coding RNA, 2030 nt
Organism: Papio anubis (olive baboon)
Lineage: Eukaryota; Metazoa; Chordata; Mammalia; Primates; Cercopithecidae
Source: Ensembl